Cercocebus atys (sooty mangabey) is the source of this 103-nucleotide ribosomal RNA. NCBI's taxonomy places the organism in Eukaryota, Metazoa, Chordata, Mammalia, Primates, Cercopithecidae. The record is from Ensembl.
GUCUACGGCCGUACCACCCUGAACAUUCCCGAUCUCAUCUGAUCUCAAAACCUAGGCAGGUCAGCCUUGGUUAGUACUUGGUGGAAGAAUGUAAAGUUUGAUU